AUCCAGACAAACUCCGCCUACUUUCACAAAACUAUACAACAGAACAUGUUUAGUAGCAAUACUAAGAAGAGAUGUGAGACAAAAUGGUAGGGGUGUGUGUGUGUGUGUGUGUGUGUGUGUGUGUGUGUGUGUGUGUGUGUGUGUGUGUGUGUGUGUGUGUGUGUGUGUGUGUGUGUGUGUGU
Tachysurus fulvidraco (yellow catfish) is the source of this 182-nucleotide long non-coding RNA. RefSeq lists it as uncharacterized. Lineage: Eukaryota; Metazoa; Chordata; Actinopteri; Siluriformes; Bagridae. The record is from RefSeq and is a predicted model, not a curated record. The transcript has 2 exons.